This 440-nucleotide ribosomal RNA is filed under the name uncultured bacterium. RNAcentral's name for it is "bacterial SSU rRNA". It matches the Rfam family "Bacterial small subunit ribosomal RNA", at positions 958 to 1398 of the family's 1533-position model. The record is from RNAcentral.
AACGCGAAGAACCUUACCUGGGUUUGACAUAUGCCGGAAAGCCGUAGAGAUACGGCCCCCCUUGUGGUCGGUUUACAGGUGGUGCAUGGCUGUCGUCAGCUCGUGUCGUGAGAUGUUGGGUUAAGUCCCGCAACGAGCGCAACCCUCGUCCUAUGUUGCCAGCACGUUAUGGUGGGGACUCAUAGGAGACUGCCGGGGUCAACUCGGAGGAAGGUGGGGAUGACGUCAAGUCUUCAUGCCCCUUAUGUCCAGGGCUUCAAGCAUGCUACAAUGGCCGGUACAAAGGGCUGCGAAACCGCAAGGUGGAGCGAAUCCCAAAAAGCCGGUCUCAGUUCGGAUUGGGGUCUGCAACUCGACCCCAUGAAGUCGGAGUCGCUAGUAAUCGCAGAUCAGCAACGCUGCGGUGAAUACGUUCCCGGGCCUUGUACACACCGCGCAUA